RNAcentral lists this non-coding RNA (30 nucleotides) under Rattus norvegicus (Norway rat). Lineage: Eukaryota; Metazoa; Chordata; Mammalia; Rodentia; Muridae. The record is from RNAcentral.
UUCCUGCAUAAAAGGACGACAAUCGAACGC